This 311-nucleotide long non-coding RNA is filed under the name Bos taurus (domestic cattle). RNAcentral's name for it is "long non-coding RNA NONBTAT018037". Lineage: Eukaryota; Metazoa; Chordata; Mammalia; Artiodactyla; Bovidae. The record is from RNAcentral.
AGCCACCCACGUUCAGACACUAAUCCUGGCAAGAGGAAGAGUCUCCAAGCAGGUUAAUUCUCAAAGGACAAAAUAAGCAAAAUGACUGCUCAACAGACUGAGAUGUAAUAACACAUUAUCCAAUGUCCCCUGGGGGCUAUGUCACCCUCAGAAAAGGCAGAGAGCUAGAACUACACCUCCACCACAGGACACCACCAUUAACUGACCUCAAUCUGAAGUUCUCUAUGGUAAUGGUAUAUCUUAGUAAUGUAGAUAAUCCUCUUUCCAGCUAGAUAGUUUUAAAAUCUAUCCCAUUUACUUUCUAUAAUCUU